GAGUAAUGGGGAUUGAACUCAGGGGCACUCGACCACUGAACCACAUCCCCAGCCCUAUUUCAUAUUUUAUUUAGAGAUAGGGUCUCCUUGAGUUGCUUGGGGCCUUGCUUUUUCUGAGGAUGGCUUUGAACUCCAGAUCCUCCUGCCUCAGCCUCCUGAGCUGCUGGGAUUACAGGCGUGUGCCAGCGUGUCCAACCUGACUCCAUCUUUGAUGUUUGCUGACAGCUUUCAUUUCCACCUCUCCUCUUACCCGUCCUGCCCCACUAAAUUGGUAAGAAAGCCAGAGUACUUCUUCCUUUGGCACUGGUAGGAAGCUCAAACCACGAAAGUCCCAGCCAGUAUCUGGGAAUCCUUACCAGGCUCAUCCAAACCCCAAGCCAGUCACCCCACCCUGUGUUCUCUUAAGCCAUCUUUUAGACUUUCUUGGUGAGCCUGCCCUGCUUUCUCCAGAAAGCCUCAUUUUUCUCUAGAUGUCUGUUUGGUAUCAUCUGUCUUAAUGCUCAAACCAAAUUUUGGAUGUGUGUGGUCUAUGUGUGUUUCUGAGGGACAGCUAGAACAGAGUCUCUAUUAGCAUGCAUGAUAGGUGGCACAGGGUUCUCACCUUUAUCCCCACCCCCUGAUUUGUUGGGGAUUGAAUCCAGAGUCUUGUGUAUGCAAAGCAAGCACUCUACCAAUUGAGCUCUAUUUCCAGGCCCCCACAUAUACUUUUUCUGUGAGUGAGAAAUAAACUCCUAUUAUGUUAAGCUACUGAGAUUUCAGGGUUUAUCUGUCAUAGCAUCUAGGGUUACCUUUACUAAUAUACCCAUGAUUUUCUAGAUCCAAUCCUUUUCUGUCUAUUUAACUCAAGUAUCUUAAGUAGCAUUUUGGAAAUCUGAAAAUAAAAAAAAUCCUGGCUAUAGAGAGGGUGUUCUUUGUCAGCAAAGAGAUUAUGGAUUGUGAAGUCAUUUGAUUUAGGACAUGGGGACAAAGAUCCUGUAAUUCUGGAUGAUGGAUCUUUUCUUUGUCCUACAGAAUCAAUAUAUUUUUAUCCAUUCUUAGUAUUUUCCCAUGGCAAAAGGACAGGAAGGAGAGAGUUACAUAUGUUAUGAAAUACUAGGUGGGGGAGAGACAGGAAACACCCAUUACAGUAUAAUCAGCCACCAAAAAAACACCCCACAAAUGGGUGGAGCUGAAGAACAUCGUGCUAAAUGAAAUAAGCUAGGCUCAAAAAGUCAAG
This 1216-nucleotide long non-coding RNA is filed under the name Marmota monax (woodchuck). The record is from RNAcentral. Lineage: Eukaryota; Metazoa; Chordata; Mammalia; Rodentia; Sciuridae.